UGAGUUUGAUUCUGGCUCAGAACGAACGCUGGCGGCAGGCCUAACACAUGCAAGUCGAGCGCGCCUUCGGGCGAGCGGCGGACGGGUUAGUAACGCGUGGGAACGUGCCCAGAUCUACGGAAUAGCCACUGGAAACGGUGAGUAAUACCGUAUACGCCCUUCGGGGGAAAGAUUUAUCGGAUUUGGAUCGGCCCGCGUUAGAUUAGGUAGUUGGUGGGGUAACGGCCUACCAAGCCUACGAUCUAUAGCUGGUUUUAGAGGAUGAUCAGCAACACUGGGACUGAGACACGGCCCAGACUCCUACGGGAGGCAGCAGUGGGGAAUCUUGGACAAUGGGGGCAACCCUGAUCCAGCCAUGCCGCGUGAGUGAAGAAGGCCCUAGGGUCGUAAAACUCUUUCGCCUGUGAUGAUAAUGACAGUAGCAGGUAAAGAAACCCCGGCUAACUCCGUGCCAGCAGCCGCGGUAAUACGGAGGGGGUUAGCGUUGUUCGGAAUUACUGGGCGUAAAGCGCACGUAGGCGGAUUAGAAAGUUAGAGGUGAAAUCCCGGGGCUCAACCCCGGAACUGCCUUUAAAACUACUAGUCUAGAGUUCGAG
This 596-nucleotide ribosomal RNA is filed under the name uncultured Alphaproteobacteria bacterium. Its description in RNAcentral is "bacterial SSU rRNA". It matches the Rfam family "Bacterial small subunit ribosomal RNA", at positions 1 to 652 of the family's 1533-position model. The record is from RNAcentral. Lineage: Bacteria; Pseudomonadati; Pseudomonadota; Alphaproteobacteria.